GAUGAACGCUGGCGGCGUGCCUAAUACAUGCAAGUCGAACGAGGUGCUUUUGUAGCAAUACGAAAGUAUCCUAGUGGCGAACGGGUGAGUAACGCGUUGGUGACCUACCCCAAAGUGUGGGAUAACAGUUCGAAAGAACUGCUAAUACCGCAUGUGGUUAUCGGGUUUAGAAACUGAUAACUAAAGGAGCAAUUCGCUUUGGGAGGGACCUGCGUCCCAUCAGCUAGUUGGUGAGGUAAUGGCUCACCAAGGCUACGACGGGUAGGGGACCUGAGAGGGUGGCCCCCCACCAAUGGAACGUAGAAACAACGGUCCGACUACACCUACGGGUGGGCAGCAGUAGGGAAGUAUUGCACAAUGGGCGAAAGACCUGAUGCAGCAACGACCGCGUGUGCGAUGAAGGCC
Molecule: ribosomal RNA, 405 nt
Filed under: uncultured bacterium
Lineage: Bacteria
Description: bacterial SSU rRNA
Rfam family: Bacterial small subunit ribosomal RNA
Source: RNAcentral